UACGAAGGGGGCUAGCGUUGUUCGGAAUUACUGGGCGUAAAGCGCACGCAGGCGGUCUGCAUAGUCAGAAGUGAAAGCCCUGGGCUCAACCCGGGAACUGCUUUUGAUACUGGCAGGCUAGAAUCCGAGAGAGGGUAGUGGAAUUCCCAGUGUAGAGGUGAAAUUCGUAGAUAUUGGGAAGAACACCAGUGGCGAAGGCGACUACCUGGCUCGGUAUUGACGCUCAUGUGCGAAAGCGUGGGGAGCAAACAGG
Molecule: ribosomal RNA, 253 nt
Filed under: uncultured bacterium
Lineage: Bacteria
Description: partial 16S ribosomal RNA
Rfam family: Bacterial small subunit ribosomal RNA
Source: RNAcentral